This 465-nucleotide ribosomal RNA is filed under the name Vreelandella stevensii. RNAcentral describes it as "partial 16S ribosomal RNA". It matches the Rfam family "Bacterial small subunit ribosomal RNA", at positions 338 to 795 of the family's 1533-position model. The record is from RNAcentral. Lineage: Bacteria; Pseudomonadati; Pseudomonadota; Gammaproteobacteria; Oceanospirillales; Halomonadaceae.
CCUACGGGCGGCAGCAGUGGGGAAUAUUGGACAAUGGGCGAAAGCCCGAUCCAGCCAUGCCGCGUGUGUGAAGAAGGCCUUCGGGUUGUAAAGCACUUUCAGUGGGGAAGAAAGCCUUGGGGCUAAUACCCUCGAGGAAGGACAUCACCCACAGAAGAAGCACCGGCUAACUCCGUGCCAGCAGCCGCGGUAAUACGGAGGGUGCGAGCGUUAAUCGGAAUUACUGGGCGUAAAGCGCGCGUAGGCGGUCUGAUAAGCCGGUUGUGAAAGCCCCGGGCUCAACCUGGGAACGGCAUCCGGAACUGUCAGGCUAGAGUGCAGGAGAGGAAGGUAGAAUUCCCGGUGUAGCGGUGAAAUGCGUAGAGAUCGGGAGGAAUACCAGUGGCGAAGGCGGCCUUCUGGACUGACACUGACGCUGAGGUGCGAAAGCGUGGGUAGCAAACAGGAUUAGAUACCCCUGUAGUC